CAGGGGCCCUAUCUUUCUUGAGGAUUAUAUUGCAAAGAGGGGAUGGCUCCAAGUUCCUUGGGAAAGACAUGCCUGGGUUGUAGAAGAUUUACACCUUAAAGAGGGAAUAUUUUUUGUACAUAGACAUGAAGUCAACUGAUCCCUGUUAUUUGAUUCACUUUGAGCCCUUCAGUCAUGAGCAAUGUCCACUGAACUGCAGAUUCUCAUCAGAGAACAAGGCCACCCGUGAAGACAGACCAUGAUGUCUGGCACUGUUACCCUGAGGAGCUGACCUUGACACUGCAGAGCUGGAGUUUCCUAAUUAUGACAACAUGGAGAGGGAAACAUCUGCACUGCCACGGCUGAAUGGCAGCAGCUUUCUUGUGCAGUGAGAACAUCUGAUGUACUGCUCAUGGCCUUGAACACAUAUUUAAGACACCUGAGAAAACACAGUGCACCUGGGAGACUACAGUGAUGACCAGCAGGAGGACAAGAUGAAGAGACUGAAGUAUCCUCCUUACCCAGGGCCCCCGUUAACCAAACCAGUUGGUGUCAAAACAAAACAAAAAAAAAUCAAAGGAUGUACCUAAAGAGGCAUCAACCUGUUUUAGCCAAGUGGCUUGUUUGUUAAUUUCUUGUAUUUGAGUUUCUACCAUACCGGAGGUGUUGAUCCCAGUGCGGCAGAAGAUAUUUGCUAUGGCACAGAUUCCUUGUUGUUAACAAGUAAUCCAAAGCAAUUCUAUUAUCUAAAAACCACCUUAGAAAGAAAGCACAGGGACUUUUGUUGUGCAGUUAUGGCCUUACAGGUAGAAUCAGCAAUAGU
This is a long non-coding RNA of Balaenoptera ricei (Rice's whale), 802 nucleotides long. RefSeq lists it as uncharacterized. The transcript has 4 exons. Lineage: Eukaryota; Metazoa; Chordata; Mammalia; Artiodactyla; Balaenopteridae. The record is from RefSeq and is a predicted model, not a curated record.